Molecule: ribosomal RNA, 429 nt
Filed under: bacterium
Lineage: Bacteria
Description: partial 16S ribosomal RNA
Rfam family: Bacterial small subunit ribosomal RNA
Source: RNAcentral
UAGGGAAUCUUCCACAAUGGACGCAAGUCUGAUGGAGCAACGCCGCGUGAGUGAAGAAGGUUUUCGGAUCGUAAAGCUCUGUUGUUGGUGAAGAAGGAUAGAGGCAGUAACUGGUCUUUAUUUGACGGUAAUCAACCAGAAAGUCACGGCUAACUACGUGCCAGCAGCCGCGGUAAUACGUAGGUGGCAAGCGUUGUCCGGAUUUAUUGGGCGUAAAGCGAGCGCAGGAGGAAUGAUAAGUCUGAUGUGAAAGACCACGGCUCAACCGUGGAACUGCAUCGGAAAAUGUGAGUAUUGAGUGCAGAAGAGGAGAGUGGAAUUCCAUGUGUAGCGGUGGAAUGCGUAGAUAUAUGGAAGAACACCAGUGGCGAAGGCGGCUCUCUGGUCUGCAACUGACGCUGAGGCUCGAAAGCAUGGGUAGCGAACAGG